AGGACGAACGCUGGCGGCGUGCUUAACACAUGCAAGUCGAACGAGGUGCUUCGGCAUUUAGUGGCGAACGGGUGAGUAACACGUGAGCAACCUGCCCUUGGCUCUGGGAUAGCCUCCGGAAACGGGGAUUAAUACCGGACAUGACCUGCUCCUGCAUGGGGGCGGGUGGAAAGUUUUUCGGCCAGGGAGGGGCUCGCGGCCUAUCAGCUUGUUGGGGGGGUAACGGCCCACCAAGGCGACGACGGGUAGCCGGCCUGAGAGGGCGACCGGCCACACUGGGACUGAGACACGGCCCAGACUCCUACGGGAGGCAGCAGUGGGGAAUAUGCACAAUGGGGGAAACCCUGAUGCAGCGACGCCGCGUGCGGGAUGAAGGCCUUCGGGUUGUAAACCGCUUUCAGCAGGGACGAACCUAGACGGUACCUGCAGAAGAAGCGCCGGCUAACUACGCGCCAGCAGCCGC
RNAcentral lists this ribosomal RNA (463 nucleotides) under uncultured bacterium. Its description in RNAcentral is "SSU rRNA". It matches the Rfam family "Bacterial small subunit ribosomal RNA", at positions 26 to 518 of the family's 1533-position model. The record is from RNAcentral.